AUUAGAAAAAUAAAACCGAUUUUAUUAUUCGAUAAAACCUACUCUUCUAUUGAGUUAAUGAUAAUUAAUUGUGAAAAACCUCGUUCAUUUUCAUUUAAUAUUUUUUACAUAUUAUCAGUAUGUAUUUUGUACAUGCAUUUAUUAUUUUAUGUUCAUUUUCAAAAAAAUGUGUAUCCCAUGACAUGUAUCAAUUAAAUUAUCAUAAAGUUUUCGAAUAUUGCUUGAAAAAUCAACGUCUAAUGGGAUUGGUCUUACAAGGCAAUACAAUUUACACCGCGCCUGAGAUAAUGAACGAGACAGAUCCAAGCAAGUACAACGAUCGUUUGAAUAUUGAUGAGUCAGUUGAUUUCAGUAAACCAUACAGUGGCUCUGCUCCUAUUCGACAAUAUCAAGUAACAGCAGUUGCAGGGAAAACAUUGUUAGACAUUAUUAUUGAAACAAUUAUUGCUGAGAACUUUUUCGAAAGUAUGGUAUGGCUUAGAAAUGUCAUUGAAAGUGUUGCAAUUUCAGUAAUGAUUCGAUAUUGCGAAAUAACAAAAAAAAUUGUUUCUAAUACAUAUGUUAACAUACUAACUAUAUUUUCGAGGGAUUUAAUGUUUUUUUCUAAAAUAAAGGAAAUAUUUAUAGCCUACUAUUUACGCACUGAACCUAUAGACGCUUUAGAAGAAAUAUUGAAAUUUAGCAUGCAAAAUAAAAUGGAUACAUAUGAAAGAAAAUUAUAUGCUGAAAUGUGUAAUAUUUAUAUGAAUCGCUAUGAAAAAUGUGCAGGAUUGGUUGAUAUUAUAUUCGACUUACCAUCAAUUGAAAUAAUGGUAGGUGGUUAUAAAUUGAAGUCAGAACUUUUAUCCACAUUAAAUUUAUUACAAAAAUUACUGUUUGAUUCUGAUUAAACUAACACAUAAUAUCUAUUAUCUGGUAAAUAUAAUUAUAACGUUUGUUUUAGACUUAAUUUCUGUUCUUAUGUAUACUAACAAAUUUGAAAAAAGAAUUGUGUUAAUUAUAAAUAGUUUGACUCUUAUUUUAUUCAAUUAUUAAACGUAAUUAUAAUUCAUAACUAAUCAAAUGAAAUUGAUUACAAAUUUAUUAAAUGUAAAUUAAAAUAGAAUUUUUAUUAUAAUCAUGAUCGGUCAUUUUCUUAAUUAGAUCAUCAUCUUAUAUAUAAUCAAGUUAUGUGUGUUUGCAUUUUAAAAUUAAAGUCGAGAACUUAUUAAGGAAUAAGAAACGAACAUAAAAAAUACACAAUUAUUGAUAAAUUGAGAAAAACGUUGAACUAAAAGAAACCAUAUAUAAUUUAUAAUACAAUAACUGUUGUAGGCGUUAGUUAAUUGUUAUAUGUAGGCUGCCUGUGUGACGAGAAUACUCGAACGACAACUUUCCUAGUGAAAUCUCGUUUUUGCUGGUUCUUUGUGUAAAAUAAGUAAAGUUAAUAAAUUAAAUAAAAAAAAAUUAUUGACUGACUCUUUUCAGUUUACUUUUAACUUAUAUUAGUAGGUUUUAAAUCUAUCGUAAUAAUCAAUCAAUGAACAUAAUAUUAAUAUGAUAUAAUGGUGCUUCAACGGACAUUGAAUAAUGACAGAUUAAAAUCCAUCAGACAUCAACUUAGCCAAAUAUUACAAAAACUUGCUGUACAAUUACAUACAAUAAAUUACACAGUUGACGCAAUCAACUGUGUUCCAAUAUCACUUCAAAAAUAAGGUCAAAAGCUAAUAUAUGUUCAUGCACAAUAUAUAACGUGUUUAAAUAUGUCACACUAUAGAAACAAAAACCAACAACAACACCUUUAUCAAAUGCGACACGUCUUAUAAAUACGCCACAUAACACAAACAGUGUCCGUAAUUUUACUGCAGUUGCGCACAUUUGGAGUAUACGAGAACACGAGUAGGAGACCACUACACACACUACCCCAACAGUAAAACCGGUUAGGGUAGUUCGCGCUCAUGACGAUGAAAACCGAAACUAAUCGCACUGUUCUGCUUUGGCACGACCGAACACUACACAUCAUCUAAAUUAGAAAUAACAAUCUGUUAGUGAUUCUUCGGCACAGUGAAGUUUUCUUUAUUUUUAUGUUGUGUAGUUUGAAAGUUAAGUUCAUUUUAAAUGAUUUUUCGGAAAUUAAAUAGCUCAUAAAAUGCUAAUAAUUAUACAAUCGUUAUGAUUUCGCUUGCCUGAUUAUGUAAAAGCAUUUAGAGAAAAUAUUUAUUCAUCAGACGGGCUUAGUUUUAUUUUGUGAACUUUAAAGUGUCACAGUGUAGAUGAAAAAAAUGUACAAUAAAACAUAAUUUAUGGGAAAAACACAUUAGUGAAUAAAGAAAUACCCUAAUAAAUCAUAAACCUAAUAUUCUACCAAUCAAAUAAUUCUGAAAGAAGUUUCACUUCACCUGCGAGUACUCGUAAUACAAACUGGUUUUUUUAUAGUUUUCUAUACAAUAUAUUAAUGUAGCUUGAUAAUUAGUGCUUAUUUUAAUUAAUAUACAAAUAAAUAUAAAUGUAUUUAAUAAAAUAAAAUAUAAAACAUAUGUUGAACUUUAUUUUCGUAAAUUAAAGUGGAUUAAUUAAUUAAAAAUAUUUGUUACGUACAUAAUCAUAUGGUGUCUUUGUUGUGACCGCCCAAUCAAUAUGUGAAUGACCGCUGGUAAAAAUAACUGGACGAGUUCCACGCGACUCGAUAAAACAAGUCAUUAUUCAUUAGCAAUCAAACGCUCGCUUGAGUAUCGUUGAUACUGAACAGUAUAUUAUCGUUUUUCUUUUGUGCUCUUUUGAAGCAUUGCAAAGGUGUAUACGCCAAAAUUCGCCACCAUCGGGACGAGUUGACUUCAUUUCACGCCGUUGAACACUUUCUGUACCACGUCUCCUGUAAUUCGCAAUCCAGCCCCAAUCAAAGUUGUUGUCAUCCGUGGACAUAUAGGUCAUAUUUAUUGUAUAUUUUAUUGGUAAUUUGUGUAUGAAUAUAUUAAGUACGCCUGUGUAUGUAUAGCUUUAGUUAAUUUCUACUAACAUUAAUUUAAGAUUAUUUUAU
This is an RNA transcript of Daktulosphaira vitifoliae (grape phylloxera), 3016 nucleotides long. RefSeq lists it as uncharacterized. The record is from RefSeq and is a predicted model, not a curated record. Lineage: Eukaryota; Metazoa; Arthropoda; Insecta; Hemiptera; Phylloxeridae. The transcript has 2 exons.